RNAcentral lists this unclassified non-coding RNA (473 nucleotides) under Hevea brasiliensis (rubber tree). The record is from RNAcentral. Lineage: Eukaryota; Viridiplantae; Streptophyta; Magnoliopsida; Malpighiales; Euphorbiaceae.
AAAAUGAACAAGAAAACAAUAUUAUAAACGAGAAUUACGUUCCUCGAUACGCAAAGUUGGAUUUUCCUAAGUUCAAUGGAAUGGAAGAUCUAUUAAGAUGGCUGGAUCGAUAUGGGCAUUUCUUUCACUACCAAAAUGUUGUAGAUACCAAACGACUAGCAAUAGCUUCCUUACACUUUUAGGGGAAGGCUCGAAUCUAGAUCCUUCAACUCGAAAAGAACCACCCAGGACCAAUAUAAUUGGAGAUUUGAUCCAACGGCUAGGGAAUACCAACUGGAAGAACUCAUCAAUUCUUAACAAUUUGAAUUCGUCAAUAAGCAUAAGGAAGAUUUGAUCAACCGAUCACCAGAGCUGGGCCGCUAACAUCCAAUCAAAAACUACAACAAUUCAUAGUCGGGCUCAAAAUUACAAUUAAUUAGGAGCUCAAGAUUCAGUGACCUGUGAACAAUGAAGAUGCUACAAGUUUAGCUUGA